This 1255-nucleotide small RNA is filed under the name Rattus norvegicus (Norway rat). RNAcentral describes it as "uncharacterized LOC108351289". The record is from RNAcentral. Lineage: Eukaryota; Metazoa; Chordata; Mammalia; Rodentia; Muridae.
GCAUCCCUUUAAAUUCUAUAUGGUAUCACAAUUUAGCAAUUAACAAUAUAAUAUACUACUAGCUAGGACUUUUAGGUAUGCAAUAGUAUUUCUUUAAUUUUGUAUUUGAUCACUUAUUAUUCCUUCAUAGAUAAGAAUUUGUGUCAGAAGGUAUGUUAUAUCUGAUUCUUCCUACCCACAUAAGAAACACAUAAAAGUCACUAUAAACAUAAAAUUUUGAUUCUUUGAGCCCACAAUUUUUAAUACAAAAAAGUGGGGAUCAUAGCAUUGGAUAUCUUGUCGAAGUGUUUCAGAAUGAAAUGAAGCUACUUAAUUAUAAACCUUUACCGGAGACAUUUUCUAUUGUCAUUACCAUUAUAGGAUCCUUCAAGUACAUUACAGAAAAGUUGUAAUUUGACAUUCAGGAAAAUAUUUAAUGAGAAUUACACCUCUAAUCUCUGAAUAACCUGUUGGUAGUUAAAUAUGUUAGCAAAAACAAUGAAGAUAUCAAGUUUUACUGAUAUCCAUGUAAUAUGUUUGCUAUUGCAAAUAUACAUAUGUGCUUACAUGUAAAGUUGAGUCCAUACAUAAUAAAGUACUGUCUUCUCAAGUCUGAUGUCACAAUAAGACAUAUCAGUGGACCCAAAAUUAAAAACAAAAUGUACCUCCGAGAGCUAUUCUUCUGGAAUAUCUAUAGCGACUGGCCAGUCUUCAUGAAAAGACUCAAAGAAGGGAACACGGGAUCAGAAAGCCAAAAAGAAAAGACAUGGAGAAGUGCCUGAAGAUAUGAGUCACUGGAGCUCACAAAAAUGAUACCAACAGACAUGUUAAAGAGGACGGAGAAAACCUAUGAGGCUUCAACCCAACACGAAGAACAAUAAGCAGCUGAGGAAAAACUGGGAAUGAGAAAGGCAGCCUUCCCUGGGGGAGAAGUCACCAAGUGGUUGUUAAGUGAUUAUCUCUGAAAACAAACAUGCAGAUUGCCCACAAAAACAAGCACACAUAUUGGUUAUCAAUAUUGGAUUGAAGCAGAGAAGAGAGAAAACACUCACGUUUCUUCUGUUGUUUGAUUUCGACAACGCAAUGCUCAUAGCUACUCUUGGUGUGCUUGUGAGUUUCAGAGGCUUGGACUAACACCCAUAAUUGCCAAGAGAAUUUGAAGCCUCGGUAAGCUACAAACCCCUCUAUCAAAACUCAGUUUAGAAAUCGAAGGUAACACUUGGUUCUAAGUAUGUCAAAUGCUCCAAAAUCAAAUUAAGAAUUCAGCUAAUUAGCG